RNAcentral lists this ribosomal RNA (164 nucleotides) under Oberonia cavaleriei. RNAcentral's name for it is "5.8S ribosomal RNA". It matches the Rfam family "5.8S ribosomal RNA". Rfam says of the family: 5.8S ribosomal RNA (5.8S rRNA) is a component of the large subunit of the eukaryotic ribosome. It is transcribed by RNA polymerase I as part of the 45S precursor that also contains 18S and 28S rRNA. Functionally, it is thought that 5.8S rRNA may be involved in ribosome translocation. Lineage: Eukaryota; Viridiplantae; Streptophyta; Magnoliopsida; Asparagales; Orchidaceae. The record is from RNAcentral.
GGCACGACUCUCGGCAAUGGAUAUCUCGGCUCUUGCAUCGAUGAAGAGCGCAGCGAAAUGCGAUACGUGGUGCGAAUUGCAGAAUCCCGYGAACCAUCGAGUCUUUGAACGCAAGUUGCGCCCGAGGCCAACCGGCUGAGGGCACGUCUGCCUGGGCGUCAAGC